UACAGAGGGGGCAAGCGUUGUUCGGAAUUACUGGGCGUAAAGGGCGCGUAGGCGGCCUUCUAAGUCGAACGUGAAAUCCCCGGGCUCAACCCGGGAACUGCGUCCGAUACUGGAAGGCUUGAAUCCGGGAGAGGGAUGCGGAAUUCCAGGUGUAGCGGUGAAAUGCGUAGAUAUCUGGAGGAACACCGGUGGCGAAGGCGGCGCUCUGGACCGAGACUGACGCUGAGGCGCGAAAGCGUGGGGAGCAAACAGG
RNAcentral lists this ribosomal RNA (253 nucleotides) under uncultured bacterium. Its description in RNAcentral is "partial 16S ribosomal RNA". It matches the Rfam family "Bacterial small subunit ribosomal RNA", at positions 524 to 776 of the family's 1533-position model. The record is from RNAcentral.